GUAGGGGCAGGGGGAAUUCCCGGUGUAGCGGUGAAAUGCGUAGAUAUCGGGAAGAACACCAGUGGCGAAGGCGCUCUGCUGGGCCAUCACUGACGCUCAUGGACGAAAGCCAGGGGAGCGAAAGGGAUUAGAUACCCCUGUAGUCCUGGCCGUAAACGAUGAACACUAGGUGUCGGGGGAAUCGACCCCCUCGGUGUCGUAGCCAACGCGUUAAGUGUUCCGCCUGGGGAGUACGCACGCAAGUGUGAAACUCAAAGGAAUUGACGGGGGCCCGCACAAGCGGUGGAGUAUGUGGUUUAAUUCGAUGCAACGCGAAGAACCUUACCAGGGUUUGACAUCCUGCGAACCUCUUGGAAACAGGAGGGUGCCUUCGGGAACGCAGUGACAGGUGGUGCAUGGCUGUCGUCAGCUCGUGUCGUGAGAUGUUGGGUUAAGUCCCGCAACGAGCGCAACCCACGUCUUUAGUUGCCAGCAUUUAGUUGGGCACUCUAGAGAGACCGCCGGUGAUAAACCGGAGGAAGGUGUGGAUGACGUCAAGUCAUCAUGCCCCUUACAUCCUGGGCUACACACGUACUACAAUGCUACGGACAGAGGGCAGCAAGUUCGCGAGGACAAGCAAAUCCCAUAAACCGUGGCUCAGUUCAGAUCGUAGGCUGCAACUCGCCUACGUGAAGGAGGAAUCGCUAGUAAUCGCAGGUCAGCAUACUGCGGUGAAUACGUUCCCGGGCCUUGUACACACCGCCCGUCACACCAUGGAAGUUGGCCACGCCCGAAGCCGUUACUCCAACCCUCGGGAGGAGGACGUCGAAGGUGGGGCUGAAGAGUGGGGUGAAGUCGUAACAAGGUAACCGUA
RNAcentral lists this ribosomal RNA (853 nucleotides) under uncultured bacterium. Its description in RNAcentral is "bacterial SSU rRNA". It matches the Rfam family "Bacterial small subunit ribosomal RNA", at positions 651 to 1504 of the family's 1533-position model. The record is from RNAcentral.